GACGAACGCUGGCGGCGUGCUUAACACAUGCAAGUCGAACGGAAAGGCCCUGCUUUUGUGGGGUGCUCGAGUGGCGAACGGGUGAGUAACACGUGAGUAACCUGCCCUUGACUUUGGGAUAACUUCAGGAAACUGGGGCUAAUACCGGAUAGGAGCUCCUGCUGCAUGGUGGGGGUUGGAAAGUUUCGGCGGUUGGGGAUGGACUCGCGGCUUAUCAGCUUGUUGGUGGGGUAGUGGCUUACCAAGGCUUUGACGGGUAGCCGGCCUGAGAGGGUGACCGGCCACAUUGGGAAUGAGGUACGGCCCAGAAUACUACGGGGGGCAGCAGUGGGGAAUAUUGCACAAUGGGCGGAAGCCUGAUGCAGCAACGCCGCGGGCGGGAUGACGGCCUUCGGGUUGUAAACCGCUUUCGCCUGUGACGAAGCGUGAGUGACGGUAAUGGGUAAAGAAGCACCGGCUAACUACGUG
Molecule: ribosomal RNA, 468 nt
Filed under: uncultured bacterium
Lineage: Bacteria
Description: partial 16S ribosomal RNA
Rfam family: Bacterial small subunit ribosomal RNA
Source: RNAcentral